This 3473-nucleotide long non-coding RNA is filed under the name Homo sapiens (human). RNAcentral describes it as "non-protein coding lnc-GGT5-1:1". The record is from RNAcentral. Lineage: Eukaryota; Metazoa; Chordata; Mammalia; Primates; Hominidae.
AGACUGUGAGAGCAGACACUGGGCCCAUACAUGUGUCCACCCAAGGAGACUGGGCAGCAGCUGCAGAGAGCAAAAUGACCUGACCUUCUCACAUGGAAACUUCUCCAAGACUUGGUGUCAUGGAAAAAGCAAAGUCGCUAAAAAGCACACACGCACACUUUUUUUUUUUUUUUGACACGGAGUCUUGCUCUGUCGCCCAGGCUGGAGCGCAGUGGUGCAAUCUCAGCUCACUACAACCUCCGCCUCCUGAGUUGAAGGGAUUCUUCUGCCUCAGCCUCCUGACUAGCUGGGACUACAGGCAUGCACCACCACGCCCGGCUAAUUUUUGUAUUUUUAGUAGAGAUGGGGUUUCGCCAGGCUGGUCUCGAACUUCUGACCUCAGGUGGUCCACCCACCUCUGCCUACCAAAGUGCUGGGAUUACAGGCGUGAGCCACUGCACCCAGCCACACACGCACUUUUUAAAAAGCCGCACGACACAUCUGUUUUUGUACACACAGACCCAGAAAAAGAUAACAGCUUGGCUGAUCACAGAAGCACCUCUGAGAAGGGCACAGUGCCUGGCGAUGGGCAAACAAAGGAGGGGGCAGUGACUUGCCAGAAGUCGCUCAGCAAUCACAGCCCCACACCGGAGUCUGGCUCACUCUCGACUGUACCACCCUGCCUGCCCUCUGAGGAUGCCGCAAACUUGAGGCCCUGGGAACACCCACCUAGGGGGUCAAUUCAUGCGCCUUCAGUGAAAAGCAGUGGCAACAAACAGCCUUGGAAAUCAACAAGGCAAAGUACUCACGUUGAAGAAAUUGGUCUUGUUCCUCUCGCAGAAGAGCCCCUGUGCCGGCAUGUGCUGCAGUUGUUGCCACGGGAUACUGCUGCCUAGCAACACGUCGCGGGCCCACUGGAGGUUCUGGGGAAACAAGAAGUAGGUUGAAAGUGAGUGUGUGGGCUGCUCAGGGCGCCCACAGGGAAGGCAGGCGGUCCCCUCCUUCCUGGCUGCAUGGCAAACCACGAUGAGCAGCAGUUCCUGCAGACAUCGAUUCCACAGCUCCAGGCUGCUCUGGCCAUGGGCUUUGAUCAUCAGGCUGUGGGAUGCAUUUUCAGAACUGAUCUCUGGCCCAGCACCACUGGUUUAGGAGUGUAGUCUUUGACUCCUCAAGGUGGAGACUGACAGACCCCUGGCCUGACCAACCCUACAAACCUGCCACAUGUACCCAGUACCCGCCUUCUGUCAGGGGGCCCCCACAAGCCCAAAUAGCAGCCCUGACUUAUUUGUCAGGAAUCAGUAGCGUUCCUUAUUCACGGCCAGUGGUACAGCUGCUUUAGGCUCGGAGGGCUGGACUCUGGCCACAGUGCUUAGGUCAGUGAUCUCUGGGCAAAGAGCCUCUUGGUGGAAUCCAGGCCCAGGGGAGAAUGGUGUAGGGUAAGAGGGUGAGUGUGGGCCUGGCUGCCUCUGCCUUCUCUGGGGCCUUCUCACUGGCCCAUAGAGCAGGCCUUCCCACCAGCUGCCUGGCCAGCCACUCCUCCCUCUCUGGUCUUCACCACAGCAGCCAAGCACCUUGCACUGGCCAUCUCACUCCACCUCAGGACCAUGCUGUCCUAAAGGAAAAGGGCUGGCAAUGGGCAGAGCUGGGCUUGGCACCUGGGACUGCACAAUGCCAGACCCUCUACCCUUUCCACGGCACCCACUGUCCCAGCCAAUCUGUCCUCCCCUCCCGCUCAGGUCCCUUGCUCGCCUUUCCCAGCGCUGGGCGCAGGCCUUCAUCACCUUGCACUCCAGCUGCUCCGAAAGCCCUCUCACUUCUUGGCCUGCAAGCUUGUCCCACCUGGUCCCAUUCUGCCCACUGCUGGCCAGGCUGAGCAUACUGAACCAUUCCCCUAAUCAUCAUGAGGCAAAAGUGCAACUCCAGCUCCCUGACUCGCUGGCUGUGGGGCCCAUGCUAGCCUGCCUCUAAGCCUUUGCUCCUAUGAGGGCUACCCUUCUGCCCCCACCGGGAUGCUGUAGGGACUGAGGGCUGCUCCUGAACACUGGGCAGGGAGGGCCCUGUGGCUGUAUGUAGGAGGCUCCAUUCACUGUGAGCUUCCCGUCUGCUGAGGGACCCCCUGCCUGCCCCACCCUGAGGGGAAGGAGAGACAGGCAGAGGAGGGAACAACCUGGGCAGCAAAAGGGUCCUCAGACCCUGGAGGCAGGCUCCCAACUGAGAACAGAGGCCACUUUGCUCAAACUCACAGAAAACAGUAAAAUACCCAGUCCUGACCUUCAACUUCUGAGCUCUAGCACCCUAGGAGGAACAACCUGUAGUUUACUUUCAAGUGUCCCCAGCAGCUGGGCGCGGUGGCUCACGCCUGUAAUCCCAGCACUUUGGGAGGCCAAGGUGGGUGGAUCACCUGAGAUCGGGAGUUCGAGACCAUGCCUGGCUAAUUUUUGUAUUUUUAGUAGAGAUGGGGUUUCACCACGUUGCCCAGGCUGGUCUCGAACUCCUGACGUCAAGUGAUCUGCCCGCCUUGGCCUCCCAAAGUGUUGGAAUUACAGGCGCGAGCCACCGUGCCUGGUCCAUCACCUGCACUUCUAAUACCACAGUUGAGCACAUCUGACCAUGGAGGUAGGCUGCAAAGGGGACCUCCCUUUUACCCAGUCUGAGAAGGUCAGGGAGGCUCUGGGAGAAGGUGAUACCUGGGCUGUGGUUUGCACAAAGCUGUUAUGGGGAUAAGGGACUCACUGAAGCAAGUGCCCAGACACCUGGGGCAGUCAGGGCCUAGCCAAGGAGGUGGAGGGGAUCAGAUGUGGCUGCCCAUAAGGCCAGUGGGGAGCCAGGGUGCUAUGAGGCAGGGAGUAAGUGCUAAGACCAUGGGCUGCAGGGCCCAGAGCAGAGGCAGGCUGCCUAGGGGACUGAGCCUGUGUAUACCCUUGCUCUCCUCUAUGGCCCUGGCCUCAAUGCUGUGGCAGACCACUCCUCCAGCUGUGACUUCAUGACCCAGGGCACAGGCCUGGCCUGAGAAAAGUUACCCAAGAGUCAUGACCCCAGAGCUGCUUCUGGGGCUCCUCCGGAACUUGGAAAAGUGUCCGGAAGACCUCUUUAAGUGGCAGCACUUGAGGCCAGCAGGAGGAGAUGUGAGACCCUGACUUGAAGAAGCAUCUCCAGUAGCCAUCAUUUUCCUAAGAAUACCAAGAAAGUAAAGCCUCGACAAAGACUUCCUUCUGGCUGGGGACACAAGAGAAAGCACAGAGGCCAGGAUGGAGUCACAUAGACUCUGCUUCCCUGCCCAGCUGCCUUGUUGCAGGCCCUGUGGCCAUGGGACGGGAAUGGACAUUCCUCUCUGGUUUGUUUUCCACCACUCCACCUGCACCAAGCCAGUUUGUCCCCCAGAUUGGAGCAGAAAGGGAGAAGGCAGUGGGAGAGGUUUCUGGGGCAAAGGGUGCAGAAAGCACUAGCCUGUCAAACCCAACCUGGAUUAUAAAUUAGCUUCCUGCAGACCUGGC